This 138-nucleotide small RNA is filed under the name Pan troglodytes (chimpanzee). RNAcentral describes it as "processed transcript". The record is from RNAcentral. Lineage: Eukaryota; Metazoa; Chordata; Mammalia; Primates; Hominidae.
GGAGGCUCUUUGAAGUUGGGUUCAGGAGUGUAGAAUUGGCAAAGUUAUUGCCAGCUUCCUGGCUCCUUCACCGGUUUGGGUAAUAAGGCCCUCGUGGUGUGUUCAUCCACUUACCUGAAAUAACUUGGAAUAAAUAAU